Molecule: ribosomal RNA, 253 nt
Filed under: uncultured bacterium
Lineage: Bacteria
Description: partial 16S ribosomal RNA
Rfam family: Bacterial small subunit ribosomal RNA
Source: RNAcentral
GACGAAGGGGGCAAGCGUUGUUCGGAAUUACUGGGCGUAAAGCGAGUGUAGGUGGUUGUCAUAGUCAGGUGUGAAAGCCUUGAGCUCAACUCAAGAAAUGCACUUGAUACUGGGCGACUAGAGGACCGGAGAGGAUAGUGGAAUUCCCAGUGUAGUGGUGAAAUACGUAGAGAUUGGGAAGAACACCAGUGGCGAAGGCGGCUAUCUGGACGGUUUCUGACACUAAGACUCGAAAGCGUGGGGAGCAAACAGG